GUGUGUGUAAAAGGUUCUACACUAGGACCCAGUGUUUUUCUUGUGGGGAAGCCGGCUCAAGACUGAGUCAUUGUCUGAGAGGGGACAGUCAUCAGAACAGGAUAACAUGAUGGUUGACUAGUGGAGAAAUGCUGCACUCAACUAUGGAACCCAGGAAAGUUCUUCCUUUCUUGCCAUCCGGACCUGAGCCCUAGGACCAUGCCCCAGGACUACCUGACAUGAUGACUCCUUGCUGUCCCCAGUCCACCUGGCCAUGCUGCUGCUCCAGUUUCAACUGACCUGAGCCCUAGGACCAUGUCCCAGGACUACCUGACAUGAUGACUCCUUGCUGUCCCCAGUCCACCUGGCCAUGCUGCUGCUCCAGUUUCAACUGACCUGAGCCCUAGGACCAUGUCCCAGGACUACCUGACAUGAUGACUCCUUGCUGUCCCCAGUCCACCUGGCCAUGCUGCUGCUCCAGUUUCAACUUCCAGCUGACUGUGCUGCUGCUCCAGUUUCAACUGUUCUGCCUUAUUAUUAUUCGACCAUGCUGGUCAUUUAUGAACAUUUGAACAUCUUGGCCAUGUUCUGUUAUAAUCUCCACCCGGCACAGCCAGAAGAGGACUGGCCACCCCACAUAGCCUGGUUCCUCUCUAGGUUUCUUCCUAGGUUUUGGCCUUUUCUAGGGAGUUUUUCCUAGCCACCGUGCUUCUACACCUGCAUUGCUUGCUGUUUGGGGUUUUAGGCUGGGUUUCUGUACAGCACUUUGAGAUAUCAGCUGAUGUACGAAGGGCUAUAUAAAUAAAUUUGAUUUGGUUUGAUUUGAUCCAAAUGUGCAAAUUGUCCAAACAGAUCCUCAAGGUAGAUGGAUUAUUUUAAAUAUGUUAUCGGACAAUAAACAGAUAUGGCUUAUUAA
Long non-coding RNA from Oncorhynchus nerka (sockeye salmon), 895 nucleotides. RefSeq lists it as uncharacterized. The record is from RefSeq and is a predicted model, not a curated record. The transcript has 2 exons. Lineage: Eukaryota; Metazoa; Chordata; Actinopteri; Salmoniformes; Salmonidae.